Molecule: transfer RNA, 68 nt
Filed under: Marmota monax (woodchuck)
Lineage: Eukaryota; Metazoa; Chordata; Mammalia; Rodentia; Sciuridae
Description: tRNA.Ala
Source: RNAcentral
GGAUUGUGGCUAAAUGGUAGAGUGCUCACCUAGCAUGGGUGAGGCACUGGGUUCAAUCCUCAGCACCA